Octopus sinensis (East Asian common octopus) is the source of this 557-nucleotide long non-coding RNA. RefSeq lists it as uncharacterized. The transcript has 3 exons. The record is from RefSeq and is a predicted model, not a curated record. NCBI's taxonomy places the organism in Eukaryota, Metazoa, Mollusca, Cephalopoda, Octopoda, Octopodidae.
CAAUUUUUCCACUUAUUCAGAUUUAAUCUGAUACGAUGAGGAAAUAAAAGAAAAACUUUCCCUCAACGUUUCUUCAUAUGAAUCGGGACAAAGAAUCUAGAAAAUUCAUUUGGAGAUGGCGUAACCGCUUAUAAAAUAUUCUACGUUUACGGAACACACUUGCUAUAAACUAGAAAAAAUCUUCGUAUCUAAAUUCCAUUUGCUCAUUUAAAAAUAAUUAUAAACAAGAGAAAAAUCAAGACGGUAUGGCCGGUCGACCAAAAACUGUGAUAUGUUAUAUAUGUGGCCGGGAAUUUGGUACACACUCUAUCGAUAUCCACGAACCACAAUGUUUAAAAAAAUGGAAAUUAGAAAACAGUCAGUUACCAAAAAAGGAACGUAGACCCUUGCCAGUCAAACCACAAAUAGUGCCGUUGAGUGGCAAAGACCAAUAUGAUAUUGACAUACGAAAUCAAGCUGCUUGGGAAAGUAGCCAGGCAGCUUUGGUUCCCUGUAACAUUUGUGGAAGAACAUUCUUACCAGACAGACUUGUAGUACAUCAGAGAAGUUGCAGACCC